GACAGAGGAUGCAAGCGUUAUCCGGAAUGAUUGGGCGUAAAGCGUCUGUAGGUGGCUUUUUAAGUCUGCCGUCAAAUCCCAGGGCUUAACCCUGGACAGGCGGUGGAAACUACCAAGCUGGAGUACGGUAGGGGCAGAGGGAAUUUCCGGUGGAGCGGUGAAAUGCGUAGAGAUCCGGAAGAACACCAGUGGCGAAGGCGGCCUGCUGGGCAGUUGCUGACGCUGAGGCGCGACAGCGUGGGGAGCAAACAGG
RNAcentral lists this ribosomal RNA (253 nucleotides) under uncultured bacterium. RNAcentral describes it as "partial 16S ribosomal RNA". It matches the Rfam family "Bacterial small subunit ribosomal RNA", at positions 524 to 776 of the family's 1533-position model. The record is from RNAcentral.